RNAcentral lists this ribosomal RNA (402 nucleotides) under Nematoda sp. MM00030. Its description in RNAcentral is "SSU rRNA". It matches the Rfam family "Eukaryotic small subunit ribosomal RNA", at positions 592 to 998 of the family's 1831-position model. Lineage: Eukaryota; Metazoa; Nematoda. The record is from RNAcentral.
UGAAGGUGUAUACCACCGUUGUUGCGGUUAAAACGCUCGUAGUUGGAUCUACGUUCGAGGAGUCGGUGCUCCCUCACGGGAGUGACUGGCUACCUGAACUGAAACAGCUGGUUUUCCCUUGGUGCCCUUCAUUGGGUGCCUUGGGUGGCUAGCAAGUUUACUUUGAAAAAAUUAGAGUGCUCAAAACAGGCGCAUGCCUGAAUAGUGGUGCAUGGAAUAAUGGAAUAGGAUCUUGGUCCUAUUUUGUUGGUUUUCGGGAGCCAAGAUAAUGAUUAAGAGGGACAGACGGGGGCAUUCGUAUUGCAGCGUUAGAGGUGAAAUUCUUGGAUCGUUGCAAGACGAACAACUGCGAAAGCAUUUGCCAAGAAUGUUUUCAUUAAUCAAGAACGAAAGUUAGAGGUU